Molecule: ribosomal RNA, 484 nt
Filed under: uncultured bacterium
Lineage: Bacteria
Description: partial 16S ribosomal RNA
Rfam family: Bacterial small subunit ribosomal RNA
Source: RNAcentral
AUUGAACGCUGGCGGCAGGCCUAACACAUGCAAGUCGAGCGGAUGAAGGGAGCUUGCUCCUGGAUUCAGCGGCGGACGGGUGAGUGAUGCCUAGGAAUCUGCCUGGUAGUGGGGGCUAACGUCCGGAAACGGGCGCUAAUACCGCAUACGUCCUGAGGGAGAAAGUGGGGGAUCUUCGGACCUCACGCUCUCAGAUGAGCCUAGGUCGGAUUAGCUAGUUGGUGGGGUAAAGGCCUACCAAGGCGACGAUCCGUAACUGGUCUGAGAGGAUGAUCAGUCACACUGGAACUGAGACACGGUCCAGACUCCUACGGGAGGCAGCAGUGGGGAAUAUUGGACAAUGGGCGAAAGCCUGAUCCGGCCAUGCCGCGUGUGUGAAGAAGGUCUUCGGAUUGUAAAGCACUUUAAGUUGGGAGGAAGGGCAGUAAGUUAAUACCUUGCUGUUUUGACGUUACCAACAGAAUAAGCACCGGCUAACUUCGUG